Nematostella vectensis (starlet sea anemone) is the source of this 796-nucleotide long non-coding RNA. RefSeq lists it as uncharacterized. The transcript has 2 exons. NCBI's taxonomy places the organism in Eukaryota, Metazoa, Cnidaria, Anthozoa, Actiniaria, Edwardsiidae. The record is from RefSeq and is a predicted model, not a curated record.
AGUGACCAAUCAUCGCUUAUUAUUCCAUUCUUGUAGCCACACAUUUGUCUCCUAGAAACCCUAGCAUUGUUGCGUGUUCUCUUGCCAUUUCCCUGGGUAAUCGCAGAGUCGCAGCCCUUACUUCGACCUCUUUCUACGACUACUCGCUUGCGAAACAGACGAACUCGAGCUAAGAAUCGGACUUGAUAUGAAGACUCUGCUCAUACUCGUCCUGGCAUGUCUGCUGACCGUUUUUGUCAGUGGGCGCUUUCUUCCGCAAGCUGCCUUCGACAACACGGCGUAUGAGGAGUGUAUGAUGAACUGUGAAACAGAGUAUAACAACUGCUUCAGCAACUGCAAUGGAGACGUGCAUUGCAGUGAAGCGUGCUCCAACGACAGGCAGCGGUGCGAGACGGGAUCUGACGAACGUGACGAGACCAAACCUUACUACAAACGCAAUUCAGACAAAAGCUGCAACGAUUUACAAGAAUAUUCCAGAGAUUACAAAAAAGAAAAGGAGCCAGCUUUUGAAAUAAGCUACGAUACUUUGUACCAGUAACUUGCAAUAAGGGAUUGUAGAAGAGGGGGACUAAAACACUAGGCAUGCAACUCCUGAGACACGUCAUAUCGUCGAGAUGAUUGACAAAUGUUCUUUCUAACUUUGUAGAGUAGUUUUAUAGAUUUUAGUUUGUGCAGUACUUUAUACGGUGUUCAAUAUCAAUUUGAUAUUAAGCUAUUUUUUAGUGGAAGGCAGCUAUUGAUUAGAAUAAUCACAAGUCUUGUAACGAAGAUAAAAUGGAAUAAAUAAUUGAGUUCA